UACGAAGGGGGCUAGCGUUGCUCGGAAUGACUGGGCGUAAAGGGCGCGUAGGCGGUUUGUACAGUCAGAUGUGAAAUUCCUGGGCUCAACCUGGGGGCUGCAUUUGAUACGUAUGGACUUGAGUGGGGAAGAGGGUCGUGGAAUUCCCAGUGUAGAGGUGAAAUUCGUAGAUAUUGGGAAGAACACCGGUGGCGAAGGCGGCGACCUGGUCCUUGACUGACGCUGAGGCGCGAAAGCGUGGGGAGCAAACAGG
This 253-nucleotide ribosomal RNA is filed under the name uncultured bacterium. RNAcentral describes it as "partial 16S ribosomal RNA". It matches the Rfam family "Bacterial small subunit ribosomal RNA", at positions 524 to 776 of the family's 1533-position model. The record is from RNAcentral.